RNAcentral lists this unclassified non-coding RNA (405 nucleotides) under soil metagenome. RNAcentral describes it as "partial contains 5.8S ribosomal RNA, internal transcribed spacer 2, and large subunit ribosomal RNA". The stretch from base 1 to 121 matches the Rfam family "5.8S ribosomal RNA", at positions 35 to 154 of the family's 154-position model. The record is from RNAcentral.
GAUGAAGAACGCAGCGAAAUGCGAUAAGUAGUGUGAAUUGCAGAAUUCAGUGAAUCAUCGAAUCUUUGAACGCACCUUGCGCCCUUUGGCCAUUCCGAAGGGCAUGCCUGUUUGAGUAUCAUGAACACCUCAACUCUUUAUGGUUUUCCAUGAUGAGCUUGGACUCUGGGGGUUUUGCUGGCUCACAGUCGGCUCCUCUAAAAUGAAUCAGCUUACCAGUGUUUGGUGGGUAUCAUGGGUGUGAUAACUAUCUACGCUUGUGGUUUUUCCACCAGGUAACCUUCAGCAGUGGAGGUUCGCUGGAGCUCAUAGAUGUCUCUCCUCAGUGAGGACAGCCCUUUGAAUGUUUGAUCUCAAAUCAGGUAGGACUACCCGCUGAACUUAAGCAUAUCAAUAAGCGGAGGA